CUUUGUGUUGCAGAGGAUGGGAGGACUGGAGCACUCCUGAGCAACUUCGUCUGUUUCACAGCUGCUCCCUGAGUCAAAGACAAGCAGUCCUGGAACUGCUCUGGCCUUGCAGAAGGGAUCAGACAGCCUGGGGAAGGAUGACUGAUCCACCUUCAACUGGCCUUGCUGAAGUGGCUUCAUUGUUAUAGUCCCCACCUUACUCAUCUUUAUUAUCCUGUGCUCCCAGAGGACCU
Long non-coding RNA from Cygnus atratus (black swan), 233 nucleotides. RefSeq lists it as uncharacterized. The record is from RefSeq and is a predicted model, not a curated record. NCBI's taxonomy places the organism in Eukaryota, Metazoa, Chordata, Aves, Anseriformes, Anatidae. The transcript is spliced from 3 exons.